Molecule: long non-coding RNA, 1032 nt
Filed under: Sparus aurata (gilthead seabream)
Lineage: Eukaryota; Metazoa; Chordata; Actinopteri; Spariformes; Sparidae
Description: lncRNA (ENSSAUG00010013362.1)
Source: RNAcentral
GCCUUUUUGGAGAGUGCAGGUUCUUAUGCUAACAAUCCAUCUUUGGCCGAGUUUGGACACCUGCUUGCAGCGAUCACAUGAACCAGACCGCAGCCAAAAGUUUCAACUGUCAGAUUAAUUAAUUGGGUAAUAAGGUAAAGUAAUGCUUGUCCUUCCAACAAGAGAUAGUGAUUGCCAUUGCCAGCUAGAGGUAAGAACCCUGAUACAUUUAGUCUUAACACUGCCAAAGAAAAAAGCUUAAGAACCCAACCCUCAAGAUACUGUUAAGUUUUCAAGGCGAGAAGUCACUGACUCUACCUCUAUACCUCCCUACUCCUCUAUCCCCCCAUUCUCCACACCGGCUUCCAAUUUGUAGCCCUUUGUGUACGUUACAGCAGCAAGAUUCCCCGCCCUCCUCUGAUCAGGCCCACGCUCGGACAUCUGUCGGAGGAUGUUUACCCAGGCAGUAAGUAUGUUAGGGGAAAUAUUAUCCUAGUUUUACCUUACCUUUCUUCUGUCUGAAGCAUAAACACCAGCAUUUGGGAGGUGGGGAUGGGAGAGGAGAGGAGAGGCGAGGAGGAGGAAAAAAAAGGAGUGUAGAAGAGAAGGUAAGUGGACCUGAGAGAGUAGAAGUGAAGGAUGAGGGGGGAGAGGGAAGGGUGAGGAGACAUCAACAGAGAGAGGUUGAGCAAGGGAGGAAAGGAGAAGUAAAUGGGUUGGAAAAGAUAUAUUGGGGGAUAAAGAGGGAAUCUUGAGAAAGAAAGCUGUAAGAUGGAGAAGAGACAGAAAAAAGUAAAGAAUGUGAAUGUGGAGGAAAGGAGAAGUAAAUGGGUUGGAAAAGAUAUAUUGGGGGAUAAAGAGGGAAUCUUGAGAAAGAAAGCUGUAAGAUGGAGAAGAGACAGAAAAAAGUAAAGAAUGUGAAUGUGGAGGAAAGGUUCAGAAGUAUAUAUAGGCACAGAAAUACACUUUUACUUUUAACACUUUUCUAGCUAACUUUAAGAGAGUUGAUCAACCCUGACAUCACUUCUCAAUCAAUUUUUACCUCUCAGUUCC